Molecule: ribosomal RNA, 234 nt
Filed under: uncultured bacterium
Lineage: Bacteria
Description: partial 16S ribosomal RNA
Rfam family: Bacterial small subunit ribosomal RNA
Source: RNAcentral
GAUCCUGGCUCAGGAUGAACGCUAGCUACAGGCUUAACACAUGCAAGUCGAGGGGCAGCAUCAUCAAAGCUUGCUUUGAUGGAUGGCGACCGGCGCACGGGUGAGUAACACGUAUCCAACCUGCCGACUAACACUGGGAUAGCCUUUCGAAAGAAAGAUUAAUACCGGAUGGCAUAGUCUUCCCGCAUGGGAUGAUUAUUAAAGAAUUUCGGUUGUCGAUGGGGAUGCGUUCCA